AUUGGAACGUUCUACAGUUGCAGUUUAUUUUCCUAUAAUUGGAAGAAAUCUUUUAUUUUGCUUCCAAGCAAUAAGACAUGUGCCUUCCCUUGCAAUACAAAGAUCAACUCACCAGUGGCUAAUUUGUUUCCUUCCCUACACAUUAUUAACAAGUUUGAAGAUCAAAAUUAUAAAGGAUCGCCAUCGAUCGCCCACAUUGCUAUUUGAUUUCGACGACCUUUCUGCUAUAUUAUCAUUUCCAGGAUGAAAAAAUCAAUGAGCGCAUACAUCAGAAAAUUUCUUUUAUGCACUGCUGGUAUAUAAUAUGUAUCAUGCAAUUUGUAUUUCCUCUACAUCUUUUGUGGGACAUUCCAAUAUAUUUCUUCCUGCUUAAUAAUUCGUCGUCGUUUGUUUUGAUGCAGGGGCUGCCGCCGCUCCCAACUUUCAAAUCCGCGUUGAUGUGCGCGAAGAAUAUGCCAAUGCCUUUAGGACCGAAUCAUACAAUGAGUUCUGGACACGUGUCCUGGCAUUGUCAGAUGAAAAUUCUGCCACGUAUAUUCCAGUCGAGACAUCCACAGCGGCUCGCCUUCCGUCGUAUCGCCUGUUCGUGGAACAUCUUUUGGAUCCAGACCAACCCACAGUCACCCGGAUCCUUGCAUUGGCUCAAAACCCACCCGCCGCCCACUCUCUUCUAACCCAAUAUUUCAACCAAACAGCUAACGCCUCUCUCUUAUGUGGCUCUUUACUAAAGGAUAUUAACCAUACACGUGUCAAAUACAGCUCUCUCAAAACCACCCUCCAAUCUAUGGGCACCACGCCCUUAUCGCCCGAAAAGCAUUUCCGGAUACUUUUAACCCGAAUAACCGAAUUCACCAACUCCCUCAACCCAUGUCGCUGGUCCGCUCCGUCUCCCACCCAGGUUCGAGCCACACAAGCCGAUUGCUCCAAUUUGCUCAAGAAGCUGGAGUCAACCCGCGACAGGGCUAAAUCCAAGCUGCAAAUGAGAAGUAGACUAAAACACGGCUCGGCUUUAUUCCUCGUGGCUUUAACAGCUUCACUUACAGUGAUCCUUGCAACUCAUGCUUUGGCUUUGGUAGUGGCUGCUCCAAGUCUUAUAAAGGCUUCAUUGGAUGUGGCUUCUAGCAGGAGGCUAGCUAGAGUGAUGUCUCAGCUUGAUAUGGCUGCAAAGGGGAGCUACAUUCUUAGUAGAGAUCUAGAAACCAUUAGCCGGCUGGUGGCUCGACUAAACGAUGAGCUAGAGCAUAUGAGGGCGACAGUUAAGUUUUGGGUUGAUAGAGGAGAGGAAUGGAUCCGGGUCCAAGCCAAUGGGGAAGUGAUGCGCCGGCUGAAGAAGAAUGAUUGCAGCUUUAGCGAGCAGCUAGAUGAAGCGGAGGAGCAUUUGUACUUGUGCUUCAUGACAAUUAAUAGAGCGAGAAACCUUGUCCUUAGAGAGAUAUUGGACCCGGGUCAACCCAUCAAGGCACCCAAUCUUCUCUCAAAAUAGUAUAUAUAAUUUACUUUAUUCAUAAUUGCAAAAUAAGACUGUAAAAUUAGUUGGGCCAUGUUUUUGAUGACCGAAAUUUUGGUUCGUUGGCGGUAUAGCAUUAAAUUGCAGGAAUUGAAUGUGUCGAGUUUUGAUUAAAAGCGUUAAAGCUGUUAUCAAUUGGCUUUA
Molecule: unclassified non-coding RNA, 1651 nt
Filed under: Hevea brasiliensis (rubber tree)
Lineage: Eukaryota; Viridiplantae; Streptophyta; Magnoliopsida; Malpighiales; Euphorbiaceae
Source: RNAcentral